UGAGCAAAGUCAUUGUCCAAGACCUACCCAGU
This 32-nucleotide non-coding RNA is filed under the name Mus musculus (house mouse). Lineage: Eukaryota; Metazoa; Chordata; Mammalia; Rodentia; Muridae. The record is from RNAcentral.